GUUUUCAUAGUUUAAAAAAACAUUGGUCUUGUAAAUCAAAAUUAAGUAAAUUACUUUGUAAACU
This 64-nucleotide transfer RNA is filed under the name Cifuna locuples. RNAcentral's name for it is "tRNA-Thr". It matches the Rfam family "tRNA". Rfam says of the family: Transfer RNA (tRNA) molecules are approximately 80 nucleotides in length. Their secondary structure includes four short double-helical elements and three loops (D, anti-codon, and T loops). Further hydrogen bonds mediate the characteristic L-shaped molecular structure. tRNAs have two regions of fundamental functional importance: the anti-codon, which is responsible for specific mRNA codon recognition, and the 3' end, to which the tRNAs corresponding amino acid is attached (by aminoacyl-tRNA synthetases). tRNAs cope with the degeneracy of the genetic code in two manners: having more than one tRNA (with a specific anti-codon) for a particular amino acid; and 'wobble' base-pairing, i.e. permitting non-standard base-pairing at the 3rd anti-codon position. The record is from RNAcentral. Lineage: Eukaryota; Metazoa; Arthropoda; Insecta; Lepidoptera; Erebidae.